UCUUAAGACAGGUGCUGUUAAUGAAUAAGCCCUUUGUUUGAAUUGGUGUGGGUUCCUAGUAGGACAAGGACAAAGAAUCAAGGAGUCAGCGAGGCUAGGUUUCUCUCGGCUACGGGUCCUGAAAGUUGUCGGCUAGUAGACAUGAAGAAGAACCUCGGCGCGGACUCUUCUGCUACACGGGUCCAGAACUCAGAGCUUCACAACCAAGUGAAGAUGAUAACCCAAACCGUCAUGGGCUCACACUAGAGAUCAACAAUGUGCAGCAGCUGUUGACCUCUGGACAACAUUUAGGAUGUGAUGAACCUGUCUGACCAGCAGAGGGCUUUUUCUUUGGACUGGCCACUGCCACUCCCAUCACAGCUCAGUUGCCGUCAUGGGAAGAUGAGAAAUCUCUGCCUUGACAACUUCAGAUUUGAACCUACCAGUAGAGUACCCCGCUGCUUGAGUUGCAACUCGAGCUGUGUGGCUGGAGGAGUCCAGGCACUUGCGAUGGAAACACAUAGCAUGUGGGGUACGCUGCCUUGACAACUUCAGUUCUGGUCCCCCGUUUAGGCCCCACACUUCAUGUCUUCUGUCACUGUGGACAGCUGUCAACAGAUUGACAUGUUGCAAAUAUUCAUUUGUUUAAAAAGUACUUAACAUGAUCAGGCUUUGCCAACUUGUAAUAAAGUUUUUGCAACUUCAAA
Molecule: long non-coding RNA, 686 nt
Organism: Monopterus albus (swamp eel)
Lineage: Eukaryota; Metazoa; Chordata; Actinopteri; Synbranchiformes; Synbranchidae
Exons: 5
Source: RefSeq, a predicted model, not a curated record